RNAcentral lists this ribosomal RNA (406 nucleotides) under uncultured bacterium. Its description in RNAcentral is "partial 16S ribosomal RNA". It matches the Rfam family "Bacterial small subunit ribosomal RNA", at positions 30 to 526 of the family's 1533-position model. The record is from RNAcentral.
AUUGAACGCUGGCGGCAGGCCUAACACAUGCAAGUCGAACGAAUGGCGGACGGGUGAGUAGUGUCUGGGAAACUGCCCGAUGGAGGGGGAUAACUACUGUAAACGGUAGCUAAUACCGCAUACCAUCGGAUGUGCCCAGAUGGGAGUAGCUAGUAGGUGGGGUAUCGGCUCACCGAGGGGACGAUCCCUAGCUGGUCUGAGAGGAUGACCAGCCACACUGGAACUGAGACACGGUCCAGACUCCUACGGGAGGCAGCAGUGGGGAAUAUUGCACAAUGGGCGCAAGCCUGAUGCAGCCAUGCCGCGUGUAUGAAGAAGGCCUUCGGGUUGUAAAGUACUUUCAGCGAGGAGGCGUUACUCGCAGAAGAAGCACCGGCUAACUACGUGCCAGCAGCCGCGGUAAUAC